This is an RNA transcript of Alosa sapidissima (American shad), 4090 nucleotides long. It is a transcript of the gene named regulator of G protein signaling 7a, with no coding region annotated. The record is from RefSeq and is a predicted model, not a curated record. The transcript has 17 exons. Lineage: Eukaryota; Metazoa; Chordata; Actinopteri; Clupeiformes; Clupeidae.
CUCCCGCAGAGCAGUGGCCGCUGCGCGUUCUUUCUGAACAGCAUCAUUCUCGCGACGAGAAGAGCUACAGCUAGUGUCAUUCUUCACAUUUCCAAUGAAUUAUCAUCGCAUUCCUAUGUCUGCCAGCUGACAAUCUGUGAAGUAUCUUCUACGCUUGGAAACGGGAUUCGCUUGAUUUGUCAACUGGGUGUGUUUCAGUUUCUGUGAUUUGUUGGACUUGCUGUUGUGCGGUGGUGAUACUGGACCAUGGCACAGACCAACAAUCUGCAGAACACCAAUGGGGAGGCCGAUGACUCACCCAACAUGCUAGUCUACAGGAAGAUGGAGGAUGUGAUAGCCCGCAUGCAGGAGGAGAAGAAUGGAAUACCGAUACGCACAGUGAAGAGCUUUCUAACCAAGAUUCCCAGUGUCUUUUCAGGUUCUGAUAUUGUCCAGUGGAUGCUGAAGAACCUGAGCAUCGAAGAUCAAGUUGAAGCGCUGCAUCUGGGCACUCUGAUGGCCGCACAUGGAUACUUCUUCCCCAUCUCAGAUCACGUGCUCACACUCAAAGACGACAACACGUUCUACAGAUUUCAGACACCAUACUUCUGGCCUUCAAAUUGCUGGGAACCAGAGAACACUGACUAUGCUGUUUACCUGUGCAAGAGAACGAUGCAAAAUAAAGCACGUCUGGAGCUGGCUGAUUAUGAGGCUGAAAGCUUAGCCAGGUUACAGCGAGCCUUUGCCAGGAAAUGGGAGUUUAUUUUUAUGCAAGCCGAAGCACAAGCAAAAGUGGAUAAAAAGCGAGACAAAAUUGAGAGGAAAAUUCUUGACAGUCAAGAAAGAGCCUUCUGGGAUGUGCACAGACCAGUGCCAGGGUGUGUGAAUACGACAGAGGUGGACAUAAAGAAAUCCUCCAGAAUGAAGAACCCCCACAAAACAAGAAAGUCUGUAUACGGCCUUCAGAAUGACAUCCGCAGCCACAGCCCCACUCACACACCUGCCCCCGAGGCCAAGCAGCCUACCGUGGAGGAGCUGCAGGAACAGAUCAAAUUUUGGCAAGCGCAAUUAGACCGGCAUCGAUUGAAAAUGUCCAAAGUGGCAGAGAGUUUACUGGGUUAUACAGAGCAGUACGUGGAGUACGACCCCUUCCUUACAACUCCCGAUCCCUCAAAUCCAUGGAUCUCAGAUGAUGCAACAUUCUGGGAGCUGGAGGCCAGUAAGGAGCCUACCCAGCAGCGAGUGAGGCGUUGGGGCUUUGGUAUCGAUGAAGUCCUGAAGGACCCUGCUGGAAGAGAGCAGUUCCUGAAGUUCCUAGAAUCGGAGUUCAGCUCAGAAAACCUGAGGUUCUGGUUGGCGGUGCAGGAGUUGAAGAGGAGGCCCAUCCGGGAGGUGCCAACGAGGGUACAGGAGAUCUGGCAGGAGUUUCUCGCGUCUGGGGCGCCCAGUGCCAUUAACGUGGACUCCAAGAGCUACGCCAAGACCACUCAGAAUGUCAAAGACCCAGGCCGCUACGCCUUUGAGGACGCACAGGAGCACAUAUAUAAGCUGAUGAAAAGUGACUCUUACAGCCGCUUCAUCCGAUCCAGUGCCUACCAGGAGCUUCUGCAGGCCAAGAAAAAGGUAAUGGCUCCCAGUCCAAAAGUGCACUGUAUCUUCUGACCCCCUCCCAGUCCGAUUGCCCACCCAACCAUCCCACGGGAACCGUGGCCUCUUCACUUAAGCCUGAAGACCCGCUCCGUUACUGGACCAUCCACAGAGACCCAUUGCGGCGUGACAGCCGCGCAGAGCACAUGACAGCCAGUGCUCCCUACGUUCUUUCAUAUCUGCCACUCUUAACAUGGAGGAAUGUUUCAAUGUGAUUUCAUAUGUGCCACUCUUAACAUGGAGGAAUGUUUCAAUGUGAUUUCAUAUGUGCCACUCUUAACAUGGAGGAAGGUUUCAAUGUGACUUGUGUUCUAGGGACAAACUGUGACAAACUGUUUCGGAAUUGAAGCUGAGUUCUGAGUUACUUUCCUUCACUUCAUUCAUCUUAUGUGUAAAUGGUAGUUGUUGGGUGGGGGGUGGGCGUAAGCAAGACCCAUAUAUGAAGUAAAGUUUGUGAGCGUUCCCAAUUAGGAUCAGUGUGAUUUUGUUAACUGGGCAUCAUCUGGAUCAUCUGGUAAAUGACCACUGUUUGUGUUGACUACGCAUUAGCGUUCAUGUUCAAAUUCAUUUGCAUCAUUUUGAAGUGCUCUUCUCCUGUACAAUGCUCUGUUGCAACUGAUAACAGACAUUUGACCAUCUCCAUUAUUUUCAUUAUUGCAUCCACACAAGCACUGCACACUGAAGUCAGUCGACUGUUAUCAGUUGUAGUACGGACUCCCACACACUGUCUCCGUCUUCACACACUCCUUUGUUUCAGCAGUCUUUUCUUUUUUUCUGGCUUCUCCUCUUUUUCUUUUCUUUUCUUUUCUGUCUGUUCUUUUGGUUGCUUUUGCUUCUUUUCUCUCUUGUUUGUGUUGGUUAAAGUCGGCAAUCAUACAGGACCGCAGAACCUCAUUUGAGAAAUUCUCACGCAGUGUGGUAAGUGGACGCGCUCUCCAUGUGUGGUCAGUUAAACAGCCAAUCAGACGCUCUGUUUGGUCUGAUAAAGUCUGCAUCGGGCUUUAUCCAUCCGUAACCCCAUGUGACGUAACAUUCAAUCACGUCCGUGUAGGCAGUCUAAAAACUCUUUUGAUUUCAGGACUUCCUCAAAUCAACAGCCCUCGCCCUCCCCUGCUCUUGUCCUCCUCUGCCUUGUCCUCUCCUGACCUUGGCUAACUUCCUCUCCUCUCCUCUCCUCUCCUCUCCUUUCCUCUCCUCUCCUUUCCUCUCCUCUCCUCUCCUCUCCUCUCCUCUCCUCUUCUCUUCCCUCCUCAACUCUGGUCUUUGAUGUUGCUUGCUUCUUCUAAAUGAAAUUGCUUGAUGACAAAACCAUAACAAUGCAUUUGCAGACCUCAUUCACCAGUUCAAUGUUAAGUGAGUUCACAGGGUUCCGCUGGGUGCGAGUGAAGUGUCUCUUAGCAGGUUUCCUACCCAUGCCACUUUGUUUCCAGUAGGGUCUAAUUUGCGUAAUUUAACUGAAAUUAUGAAUCAAGAUUGAAUUUGGGCUCUUGUAAUUUAUUUACAAGAUGAAAACAGUGUAUUUGUCAGCUGUGCCAUCUGGUUUAGCUUGCACAUGCUCAGGAGAGGAUUUGAGUUGUCACUGACAGAUGCACUUUCUACAUUUCCCUUUUCUUUUUUGUUUGUUACACAUUUUUGGCUUCUCAAAGUCGCUACCUCGCCAAAAUGUCUCCCUCUUAUUUUCUUUACUCUCUCUCCUUGUCCACAGAAAAGUAAGAACUUGUUUUGAGGGAUAUUUGCUUCCAGGGGAAAUCUCUCACCUCAAAAAGGUGAGCUGCUCUUGUGUGGUCAAGCUGAAACCCAGAGACUCUGAAGCCACUGGACAAGGACAGUCUUUUUCUCCAUCUCAUCUGGUUGGUCCAUACCCACAGACAAUGGACUUCGAACCAGAUGUUGCAUGUCCAAGGGACUGAUUUUCUACAUCCCUUAUUCUGGUUUUGUUUCAGUAAUCUGAAGACAACAUUUUUUGUGUUUGUUUGGACUUCCGGAGACAUUUUGAAACUUGGAUAUAAUGCCUUUUGAAGCUGUCUGAUGCUCAGUCCCUUCCAUGUAUAUCAGAUGGAUUUGACAUCAGCUUGUCCAUUCUUAACUUAAAAUAGAGAUGAAAAAAGGCAAAAAAAACAUCAUAGUCAAGAGAAUCUGCAUAGAUACAUUCUGUGAGACAUCACAAAUAUUAAUUAACGAAAUAGUCACACUAGAGGAGGUGUUAACGAGGCACGCGUAAGAUGACACCUAUUUUCAUCUGCAUUUCGUUUGUUACACUAAGGAAAAUUCAGAGAGAAAAAAAUACACACAACUUAGCACAGUUUACCAUCGCACUUGUGAAGUCACAUUGAAAAUGUUAUGGAAAUGAUGCCACCAACAACAGGCUCUGUCUUGUCUUAUGUAGUCAUUAAUUCUUUGUUACUCUCUUCUUCAUUUAUUUUUAUACCAUAUUUAAAGACACUUUUAAUUAAAAUGUAUUAAA